GAUGAAGAACGUAGCGAAAUGCGAUAAGUAAUGUGAAUUGCAGAAUUCAGUGAAUCAUCGAAUCUUUGAACGCACAUUGCGCCCGCCAGUAUUCUGGCGGGCAUACCUGUUCGAGCGUCAUUUCAACCAUCAAGCCCCAGGCUUGUGUUGGGGACCUGCGGCUGCCGCAGGCCCUGAAAACCAGUGGCGGGCUCGCUGUCACACCGGGCGUAGUAGAUUUUAUCUCGCUCAGGGCGUGCUGCGGGUUCCGGCCGUUAAAAAGCCUUUUUUACCCAAGGUUGACCUCGGAUCAGGUAGGAAGACCCGCUGAACUUAAGCAUAUCAAUAAGCGGAGGA
RNAcentral lists this unclassified non-coding RNA (336 nucleotides) under soil metagenome. RNAcentral describes it as "partial contains 5.8S ribosomal RNA, internal transcribed spacer 2, and large subunit ribosomal RNA". The stretch from base 1 to 120 matches the Rfam family "5.8S ribosomal RNA", at positions 35 to 154 of the family's 154-position model. The record is from RNAcentral.